RNAcentral lists this ribosomal RNA (482 nucleotides) under uncultured bacterium. RNAcentral's name for it is "bacterial SSU rRNA". It matches the Rfam family "Bacterial small subunit ribosomal RNA", at positions 8 to 518 of the family's 1533-position model. The record is from RNAcentral.
AGAGUUUGAUUCUGGCUCAGGAUGAACGCUGGCGGCGUGCCUAACACAUGCAAGUCGAGCGAUCUCUUCGGAGAAGAGCGGCGGACGGGUGAGUAACGCGUGGGUAACCUGCCUCAUACACAUGGAUAACAUACCGAAAGGUAUGCUAAUACAGGAUAACAUAAGAGAUUCACAUGGAUUUCUUAUCAAAGCUCCGGCGGUAUGAGAUGGACCCGCGUCUGAUUAGCUAGUUGGUAAGGUAACGGCUUACCAAGGCGACGAUCAGUAGCCGACCUGAGAGGGUGAUCGGCCACAUUGGAACUGAGACACGGUCCAAACUCCUACGGGAGGCAGCAGUGGGGAAUAUUGCACAAUGGGCGAAAGCCUGAUGCAGCAACGCCGCGUGAGUGAUGAAGGCUUUCGGGUCGUAAAACUCUGUCCUCAAGGAAGAUAAUGACGGUACUUGAGGAGGAAGCCCCGGCUAACUACGUGCCAGCCGCCGC